GACGAAUGCUGGCGGCGUGCUUAACACAUGCAAGUCGAACGGAAAGGCCCUGCUUUUGUGGGGUGCUCGAGUGGCGAACGGGUGAGUAACACGUGAGUAACCUGCCCUUGACUUUGGGAUAACUUCAGGAAACUGGGGCUAAUACCGGAUAGGAGCUCCUGCUGCAUGGUGGGGGUUGGAAAGUUUCGGCGGUUGGGGAUGGACUGGCGGCUUAUCAGCUUGUUGGUGGGGUAGUGGCUGACCAAGGCUUUGACGGGUAGCCGGCCUGAGAGGGUGACCGGCCACAUUGGGACUGAGAUACGGCCCAGACUCCUACGGGAGGCAGCAGUGGGGAAUAUUGCACAAUGGGCGGAAGCCUGAUGCAGCAACGCCGCGUGCGGGAUGACGGCCUUCGGGUUGUAAACCGCUUUCGCCUGUGACGAAGCGGGAGUGACGGUAAUGGGUAAAGAAGCACCGGCUAACUACGUG
This 468-nucleotide ribosomal RNA is filed under the name uncultured bacterium. RNAcentral describes it as "partial 16S ribosomal RNA". It matches the Rfam family "Bacterial small subunit ribosomal RNA", at positions 28 to 507 of the family's 1533-position model. The record is from RNAcentral.